RNAcentral lists this long non-coding RNA (986 nucleotides) under Durio zibethinus. RNAcentral describes it as "long non-coding RNA (DZIB_LNC000435)". Lineage: Eukaryota; Viridiplantae; Streptophyta; Magnoliopsida; Malvales; Malvaceae. The record is from RNAcentral.
UUUUUAGAAUUAUCUUUCUUGUUUUCAAUUAGCUCUCUCGCUUUACCCCAAAUUUCUUUGCCUCUCUCUCUAAAAACCCAAAAACAAAUGAUCGAAAAAAAUCAAGACCACCUAGUUGUCGUCAAGCUUUUUAGAUUUUGGCAGUUGUCCACAGUGUUGUUAAACGCAAGUCGCCGCCGACUGCUACUCGUCGGCGUCGAUUCGUUUCCAAAUGUUUUCACCUAAAUAUUUUUUUUUGCCCCCUUCUAUCUUUUUCGACCUUUGUUUUCCCUGAAAAUCAAUGAAUCUUCCUAUAUUAAAAGCCUUAUCUCACAACUUCAAACCAAAAUUAUUCCCUUCCCACAGCUCCAAAUCAACUAAAAUUCUAGUUUGUUAUUCCCCUUUUUCUUCUCUCUAUUUUCCCCAAAAGAGAACCUCAAUAGUCUAAACAAGAACCACCAUCACCCACUGCCAGAAACUUACCCACUAUCAUUCGAACACUUUCUAGACCCUAAAAUAUUUCCCAUUUUCUCCUAACUAACCUAGUAACCAAAUAAAAAAAAAAAGCCUUUAAAACCCGACAAAAGUAAAACCCUAAGGAACAAUCCCCACUAGCAGAAAACUUUUUUUAGAAUUUUGCUUUUUAUUUUUAUUAAUGUUGUGUUUAUUGCGGAUGCUUUGUUAUUUGUUGCUGACUGUGUGUACUGGACUUUUUGGUUGUGUACUUUCUAGAUUCAGGCUGAUUGGGUUUGCUGGAAUUCUUGUGUUUGAUGCUUGUGGGUAUUCUGUAUUGUCUUUGAAUGCUGCUUCUGAUUCUGGUUUCUGAUUGUUUGAGGGUGGUGGUAUAUGGCAGGGACUGAUGGUUAUAGGGCUCUGAGUCGACCAGAGAUUUCAAUUGAAUUAUUGGGUUUUUGGAAAAAUCCUUUACAACAAUCGCUUUUGACUCAACCCUUAUCUUCAGAUGACAAUCAAUCCGUAUCACAUUCAAAUUCCUCCUUUUAUUUUUU